GAUGAACGCUGGCGGCGUGCCUAAUACAUGCAAGUCGAGCGAACGGACGAGAAGCUUGCUUUUCUGAUGUUAGCGGCGGACGGGUGAGUAACACGUGGAUCACCUACCUAUAAGACUGGGAUAACUUCGGGAAACCGGAGCUAAUACCGGAUAAUAUUUUGAACCGCAUGGUUCAAAAGUGAAAGACGGUCUUGCUGUCUCUUAUAGAUGGAUCCGCGCUGCAUUAGCUAGUUGGUAAGGUAACGGCUUACCAAGGCAACGAUGCAUAGCCGACCUGAGAGGGGGAUCGGCCGCACUGGAGGGGGACCGCGGUCCAGACGCCUACGGGAGGCAGCAGAAGGGAACCUUCCGCAAUAGGCGAAAGCCUGAUGGAGCGACGCCACGCGAGUGAUGGAGGCCUUCGGAGCGGAAAGCUCUGUUAUGAGUGAAGAACAUAUGUGUAAGUAACUGUGCAGAACUUGACGGUACCUAAUCAGAAAGCCACGGCUAACUACGUG
RNAcentral lists this ribosomal RNA (497 nucleotides) under uncultured bacterium. RNAcentral describes it as "partial 16S ribosomal RNA". It matches the Rfam family "Bacterial small subunit ribosomal RNA", at positions 28 to 507 of the family's 1533-position model. The record is from RNAcentral.